AUGCUCAGUUUCAUGGAUCACUUACAAGCUCUGAGCUUGCUUGUGCUUGCCUCACUGGUCAGCUCAGCGGCGCCGCCACCGUCCGGCUCCGGCCACCGCUUCACGCUCACCCACAUUGACUCCAAAGGCGGCUUCACCAAGGCAGAGCUGAUGCGCCGGGCCGCACACAGAAGCCGCCUCCAAGCGGCCACGGGGUUUUCCAGCUCGGAGGCCGGGCCAAGGCUCCGCUCGGGCCAAGCCGAGUACCUCAUGGAGCUCGCCAUCGGGACGCCGCCGGUGCCGUUCGUCACCCUCUUCGACACCGGCAGCGACCUCACCUGGACGCAGUGUCAGCCUUGCAAGCUCUGCUUCCCGCAGGACACGCCCGUCCCCACCGCCUCGUCCAGCUUCUCCCCUCUGACCUGCUCCAGCGACGCGUGCCUGCCCGUGUGGAGCCGUGGAUGCGCCCCUAGCUCCCUCUGCGGCUACCGCUACGCCUAUGGCGACGACUCCCACUCGGCCGGCGUCCUGGGCACGGAGACGCUCACGUUCGGCUCUGGCCCCGGCCAAGUACCGGCCCCCUUUGCCGGAGCUGUCGCGUUCGGCUGCGGGAGAGACAACGGGGGCGACUGGUACAACUCCACCGGGCUGGUCGGCCUCGGUCGCGGGAGCCUGUCUCUCGUGGCGCAGCUAGGGUUCGAGAAGUUUUCCUACUGCCUCACCGACUUCUACAAUACCAGCCUGGGUAGCCAUGGCAUAUCGCUCGGCGACGCUCGCCUGCCGAUCCCGAACCAAUCCUUCGAGCUGCACGCCGACGGCACGGGUGGGAUGAUUGUGGACUCCGGCACCAUCUUCACCGUCCUCGUGGAAAGUGCUUUCAGGGUGGUCGCCGACCACGUGGCCGAGGUGUUGGGCCAGCCGGCGCUCAACACGACGAGCCUGGAGAGCCCUUGCUUCCCGGCUCCUGCCGGUGUGCGGCAGCUCCCAGCCAUGCCGGACAUGGUGCUGCACUUCGCCGGCGGUGCGGAUAUGAGGCUGCAUGGGGCAACUACAUGUCCUUUAACGAGGAGGACUCCUCAUUCUGCUUAA
Molecule: ribosomal RNA, 1068 nt
Filed under: Triticum aestivum (bread wheat)
Lineage: Eukaryota; Viridiplantae; Streptophyta; Magnoliopsida; Poales; Poaceae
Description: partial small subunit ribosomal RNA
Source: RNAcentral